RNAcentral lists this ribosomal RNA (468 nucleotides) under uncultured bacterium. RNAcentral's name for it is "partial 16S ribosomal RNA". It matches the Rfam family "Bacterial small subunit ribosomal RNA", at positions 28 to 507 of the family's 1533-position model. The record is from RNAcentral.
GACGAACGCUGGCGGCGUGCUUAACACAUGCAAGUCGAACGGAAAGGCCCUGCUUUUGUGGGGUGCUCGCGUGGCGAACGGGUGAGUAACACGUGAGUCACCUGCCCUUGACUUUGGGAUAACUUCAGGAAACUGGGGAUACUACCGGCUAGGAGCUCCUGCUGCAUGGUGGGGGUUGGAAAGUUUCUGCGGUUGGGGAUGGACGGCCGGGUUAACAGCUUGUUGGUGGGGGAGUGGCUUACCAAGGCAUUGACGGGUAGCCGGCCUGAGUGGGUGGCCGGCCACAUUAGUACUGAGGGACGGACCAGACUCCUACGGGGGGCAGCGGGGGGGAAUAUUGCACAAUGGGGGGAAGCCUGUGGCAGCAACGCCGCGUGCGGGAUGACGGCUUUGUGGGUAUAAACCGCUGUAGCCUGUGACGAUGCGUUAGCGACGGUAAUAGGUAAAGAAGCACCGGCUAACUACGUG